AAGUUGUGAGCAGAGACAUCUUUUUUUUCUGAAGACUUCAGGGGAGGAUAUGUCCCAGGCCUUUCCCUCAGUUUCUGGUGCUAGCUACUCCGGAUGUCACUUAGAUAUGUCAUUACAAUCUCUGCCCGUAUCUUCACAUAGAGUUUCAUCACUGAAUAUCCACUGAGAGUUCUCCAUGGACAAGAGCAGAGAUGCUAGCUUUGAGGUGACAUACAGGCUUGGACCAAGGACAUCUGUGGCCAUCAGGGAAAGAAGUGCAGUGAGCCAGCCCCUGGAAAGAAUCAUAAGCUAUGAAGUGAGUCAUUUCGCUCCACCAUCCACCUCCACCGUGCUGUGCUGCUUCACCACAACCUCGGAAGCAGUGAGGCCAAUUUGAUCAC
Fukomys damarensis (Damara mole-rat) is the source of this 380-nucleotide long non-coding RNA. RefSeq lists it as uncharacterized. Lineage: Eukaryota; Metazoa; Chordata; Mammalia; Rodentia; Bathyergidae. The record is from RefSeq and is a predicted model, not a curated record. The transcript is spliced from 3 exons.